GACGAACGCUGGCGGCGUGCUUAACACAUGCAAGUCGAGCGGUAAGGCCCUUUCGGGGGUACGACGAGCGGCGAACGGGUGAGUAACACGCGGGUGACCUGCCCUCCAGCUCUGGGAGUAAGCCUGGGAAACGUGGGUCGUAAUACUGGAUAUGACUCCACGGUGCAUGUCGUGGGGUGGAAAGCCUUGUGCGGCUGAGGAUGGGCCCGCGGCCUAUCAGCUUGUUGGUGGGGUGAGGCCUACCAAGGCGACGACGGGUAGCCGGCCUGAGAGGGCGACCGGCC
This 284-nucleotide ribosomal RNA is filed under the name uncultured bacterium. RNAcentral's name for it is "partial 16S ribosomal RNA". It matches the Rfam family "Bacterial small subunit ribosomal RNA", at positions 28 to 309 of the family's 1533-position model. The record is from RNAcentral.